CCUACGGGUGGCUGCAGUGGGGAAUAUUGGACAAUGGGCGGAAGCCUGAUCCAGCAACGCCGCGUGAGGGAUGACGGCCUUCGGGUUGUAAACCUCUUUCGGUAGGGACGAAGCGCAAGUGACGGUACCUACUAAAGAAGCACCGGCCAACUACGUGCCAGCAGCCGCGGUAAUACGUAGGGUGCGAGCGUUGUCCGGAAUUAUUGGGCGUAAAGGGCUCGUAGGCGGUUUGUCGCGUCGGGAGUGAAAACCAGGUGCUUAACACCUGGCUUGCUUUCGAUACGGGCAGACUAGAGGUAUGCAGGGGAGAACGGAAUUCCUGGUGUAGCGGUGAAAUGCGCAGAUAUCAGGAGGAACACCGGUGGCGAAGGCGGUUCUCUGGGCAUGACCUGACGCUGAGGAGCGAAAGUGUGGGGAGCGAACAGGAUUAGAUACCCUUGUAGUC
RNAcentral lists this ribosomal RNA (445 nucleotides) under uncultured bacterium. RNAcentral describes it as "bacterial SSU rRNA". It matches the Rfam family "Bacterial small subunit ribosomal RNA", at positions 338 to 795 of the family's 1533-position model. The record is from RNAcentral.